CAAUUUAAAUUGUUCAAAUAUAUUUUAAUACCGAUACAUAUUAUUAUAAAAUGAGCGAAGAAGUGAAUACUGAAGAUGUGCUGCGCAUAUUGGUGGCGACUGACAAUCACUUGGGCUAUGCGGAGAAAAAUGCUGUGCGCGGAGAUGAUAGCUUCAUUACUUUUGAAGAAAUACUACAAAUGGCUGUGCAGGAGGACGUUGACUUCAUAUUGCUCGGUGGCGAUUUAUUUCAUGAUGCAGUGCCCAGCCAGAAUACACUACACAACUGCAUGAAGUUGCUACGGCGUUACACUUUCGGUGAUAAACCAAUCAACAUUGAAAUGCUAAGUGAUCAGGCGGUAAAUUUUCAUAAUGCCGUCAGUGAUACUGUUAACUACGAGGACCCCAAUCUUAAUGUAUCCAUACCAGUAUUUUCCAUACACGGCAACCAUGACGAUCCCAGUGGUUUUGGACAACUCAGUUCGCUUGAUUUACUCUCCGUAAAUGGUUUAAUAAAUUAUUUUGGACGCUGGACCGAUCUCACCAAAGUAACUAUUAAUCCAAUACUUUUGCGCAAAGGUGAAACGCAAUUAGCGCUAUAUGGAUUGAGUCAUAUACACGAUGCACGUUUGGUGCGUCUAUUUGAGGACUUUAAAGUGAAUUUUGUUUGUCCAGCCUCUGAAGAGGGUGAAUGGUUUCAUUUGAUGGUUUUGCAUCAGAAUCACGCAGAUCGCGGUCCAAAAACUAAUAUACCAGAACACGCGCUACCCGAGUUCUUGAAUUUGGUUAUUUGGGGUCAUGAGCACGAUUGUCAUAUAAUACCCAAUUUGAAUGGCAUACGUGACUUCUACGUUAGUCAACCUGGUUCAUCUGUUGCUACUUCGCUGGCUGAGGGUGAAGCACUGAAGAAAUAUGUUGGUUUGUUGGAAAUAUAUAAAACGCGUUUCCAAAUGAAACCGUUGCCAUUGCAAACCGUACGUCCAUUUGUCUUCGAUUCGGUCGAUUUGGCAACAAUGACAGAAGAACUAAAACUGGACGAAGGAGAUGUACAAAAUAAGGUUAUAGCCAUGGCCAAGGAGCGUGUUGAAAGUAUGAUAAUUAAAGCGAAGGCACAAAUUACUGGGCAUCCAAACCAACCGCAAUUGCCGCUUAUAAGACUACGCAUUAUCUUCUCAAAUGAGGAGCAAAUGUUUAAUGCAAUACGUUUUGGGCAGUCCUACAAUGAGCAGGUAGCCAAUCCAGCAGAUAUGAUACAUUUUAAAAAAGUUAUAAAGCGCGCUAAGGGCGAGCAUUCCGAUUUUGACAAUGAAGCUUUACGUGGUGCCUUAGACAAUAUACAAGUGGAUAUGGGCAGUGAAAUGAAAAUCGAGAAUUUCAUUGAACGUUAUUUCCAAGAGAUACCAGCCAAACGCCAGCUAAAAGUGCUAACGCCAAAAAUAUUGUCGGAAAUGUGCAAUCGUAUUGUGGAAAAAGGUGACAUAACCGCAGCUGAGGGUAUUAUAAAACACUGCAAAGACAGCGCUCUAGAGCACUUGCUGGAGACUCUACCAGCUGACGAUGAAGUCGAAGCAUCCUUAGUGGACUUCAAUAGUAAACUAACACUCGAUGAUGUGUUGAAAAGUUUAGAAAAUGUUGGCUCAAAAGUGAAAGCUAAUACAAGUAGCUUUUCGCUUACCUCGACACUUAGCCGGAGCAAGCAAUCAACGAGAGUGAGUGAACUGAAUACAGCAUUAGAUAACCAGCACGACAGUGAAGAGGAACCACGGCCAAAGAAAGCGUCGAAAACGCAGGCAAAAGCAGCUGCAAAUUUUUUCCUGGACGACAGCGACGAGAGUGAUGCAGAACCAGCGCCACAGCCUGCUAAAGGCACAAAAGCCACACGUGGACGGAAAACCACAAAAACCGAAACGAACACCAAGCCAAUUGCUGGCAGGGGGCGUGGUAGAGGACGUGGACGUGGUGCUGCUGCAGCGGCGCCAACGCGCUCCACACGCCAAGCUUUGGACGUAUCGGUAAAUACAACGUAAGCCUUGUAUUGUUUGAUCAUCUUCUAAGUUAUAUGAAAUAAUGGAUUUUAGGCUACGGACUGAACUUAAACAAAUACUCUACAUGGUAUAUACGUAUUAAAGUGUGAAUAAGCGGGGUGUCCGAAGUUUGCUAUAACAAGAACUACUUUAUGCAUUGGUGCGAUGGUGUUUAUAUAGAGACUGAUGUUGAAUAUGUUUGUCAGAAUGAUUCUCUUUCAUUUGUCGACUUCCCUUUCGAUUGCGCCGCUCACAGGAUGCAACCGAAAAAUAAAGAAUGUUGAACUCAGUGAAGUGGACUUCGGAUAAAGACAAGCAGAAUUUUUGAUGUGUUAAAAAAUUAGUGCGAUGUUUUGCUAUAAAGCUCUAAAGUGCUGUGUUUUUGUGAGCUUAAAGCUAUUUUUUAUUAAUUUUUUAAUUUAUGAAGUGUUUCUUUUUUUUAUGUGAAGUCAUAUAUUUUUUAAUCGUGCAAAGUGAUUUUUCGACUAGUGAAGUGUUAUUCAAUGAAAAAAAAUUUAAAAUUUGGCCACUUAUCACCAGC
This is an RNA transcript of Zeugodacus cucurbitae (melon fly), 2544 nucleotides long. It is a transcript of the gene named double-strand break repair protein MRE11, with no coding region annotated. Lineage: Eukaryota; Metazoa; Arthropoda; Insecta; Diptera; Tephritidae. The transcript is spliced from 9 exons. The record is from RefSeq and is a predicted model, not a curated record.